AUUGAACGCUGGCGGAAUGCUUUACACAUGCAAGUCGAACGGCAGCACGGACUUCGGUCUGGUGGCGAGUGGCGAACGGGUGAGUAAUGUAUCGGAACGUGCCCAGUCGUGGGGGAUAACGUAGUGAAAAUUACGCUAAUACCGCAUACGAGCUAUGGAUGAAAGCGGGGGAUCGCAAGACCUCGCGCGAGUGGAGCGGCUGAUAUCAGAUUAGGUAGUUGGUGGGGUAAAGGUCCACCAAGCCAACGAUCUGUAGCUGGUCUGAGGGGACGACCAGCCACACUGGAACUGAGACACGGUCCAGACUCCUACGGGAGGCAGCAGUGGGGAAUUUUGGACAAUGGGCGAAAGCCUGAUCCAGCCAUUCCGCGUGCAGGAUGAAGGCCCUCGGGUUGUAAACUGCUUUUGUACAGAACGAAAAGGUUUCUACUAAUACUAGGAGCUCAUGACGGUACUGUAAGAAUAAGCACCGGCUAACUACGUGCCAGCAGCCGCAGUAA
Molecule: ribosomal RNA, 500 nt
Filed under: uncultured bacterium
Lineage: Bacteria
Description: partial 16S ribosomal RNA
Rfam family: Bacterial small subunit ribosomal RNA
Source: RNAcentral